GAUGAACGCUGGCGGCGUGCCUCAAACAUGCAAGUCGAGCGGGGCUAUGUAAUAUCGCAAGGUAGAACAUAGCCUAGCGGCGAACGGGUGAGUAACACGUGGGUAACCUGCCUGGAAGACAGGGAUAACGAUUCGAAAGGGUCGCUAAUACCUGAUAAUAUCCUUUCAUCGCAUGGUGAUAGGAAGAAAGGGGAAACCCGCUUUCAGAUGGGCCCGCGUCCCAUCAGCUAGUUGGUAAGGUAAAGGCUUACCAAGGCGACGACGGGUAGCCGGUCUGAGAGGAUGUACGGCCACACUGGGACUGAGAUACGGCCCAGACUCCUACGGGAGGCAGCAGUUGGGAAUCUUAGGCAAUGGACGAAAGUCUGACCUAGCGACGCCGCGUGAGGGAAGAAGGCCUUCGGGUUGUAAACCUCUGUCAUGGGGGAAGAGUAAGUGACGGUACCCAGAGAGCCCUGCUACUACGUGCCAGCAGCCGCGGUAAAGUACUCUAU
This 494-nucleotide ribosomal RNA is filed under the name uncultured bacterium. RNAcentral's name for it is "bacterial SSU rRNA". It matches the Rfam family "Bacterial small subunit ribosomal RNA", at positions 28 to 530 of the family's 1533-position model. The record is from RNAcentral.